Molecule: transfer RNA, 66 nt
Filed under: Archips betulanus
Lineage: Eukaryota; Metazoa; Arthropoda; Insecta; Lepidoptera; Tortricidae
Description: tRNA-Ala
Rfam family: tRNA
About the family: Transfer RNA (tRNA) molecules are approximately 80 nucleotides in length. Their secondary structure includes four short double-helical elements and three loops (D, anti-codon, and T loops).
Source: RNAcentral
AGGAUAAUAGUUUAAAUUUAAAACAUUUGAUUUGCAUUCAAAAAACAUUAAAAUUAAUUUAUCUUA